Molecule: ribosomal RNA, 253 nt
Filed under: uncultured bacterium
Lineage: Bacteria
Description: partial 16S ribosomal RNA
Rfam family: Bacterial small subunit ribosomal RNA
Source: RNAcentral
UACGGAGGGAGCUAGCGUUGUUCGGAAUUACUGGGCGUAAAGCGCACGUAGGCGGCUUUGUAAGUUAGAGGUGAAAGCCUGGGGCUCAACUCCAGAACUGCCUUUAAAACUGCAUCGCUUGAAUCCAGGAGAGGUGAGUGGAAUUCCGAGUGUAGAGGUGAAAUUCGUAGAUAUUCGCAAGAACACCAGUGGCGAAGGCGGCUCACUGGCCCGUAACUGACGCUGAGGCACGAAAGCGUGGGGAGCAAACAGG